UCACUCUGCGAUUGUACUCCCUUUUAUUCUCACUGAACAUCCGAGCUGCUUCCGAGUUUGCAGGUGAGUUGGGGUUUGGAUCACACAGCAAUGACUGCAAAUAAUAAGAGUGUCAGUCAUUCGCAAACAAGAAACCCAUAGUUUUCUUUUCUUAUAAAAGUACAAAAAAAGCCAUAGUUUUAUUCAAGCCUUCAAAUUCCUCUGCAUGUACAUGUCCCCAGUAGGAUAUGUAAACAGCUCAGCUUAACUCUCUUGACUCGCUUUACGGAUAAUCCAUGGCCACUAUCAUCCUGUCUCCUUCGCAUUUAACCAGUAAGGAACAGUCCAAAUUAAUCAACAAAUUCCAAGUAGGAACUAGGAUCUUUAUGGGCAAAUGUAGGUCUAGCAACAGCACCAUUUUCUUGCUACAGUACAGCAGAGUUAAACAUGCUUAAAACUAAGGAGCUGAAAGCCUUAAGUCAUGCUCAUCACUUAAGGUAAUCCAGCAAAGCAGGAGGAUAGUAUGUCUAGUGUCUUACCAUGUAAUAACAAUUUCUACUUCUGCUUGGGAAUCUAUGUCUUGAAUUGUAUACAUUAAGACAUAAGUCUAAUACCCGUUUUACUCGGCCAAGUUCAACUUCAAACUAGUCAACAUCCUAAUCUACACAGAUCAAUCAUCUCAUUAUUGGAUGUACUCGUAAUAAAACAAUGUAUAUUCAAGCACCGACAAUCUACACAAUUCUAUGUUUUUUCUCUUCUUUUUUGGGUGGAUGGUGGGUGGUGCGAGGGAAUCUUGUUACAAGCACCAGAAGUUAGGGGAUUGAGUAAACAUCUUCAUGCAGAAUAUAACUUGAAGUCUUGAACCUGAUCAUAACUUGCACGACAUUUAUUUACGAUCAUAGUAGUGAUUGACACAGAUACGAGCAUAAUCUUGAGUUAAGGUUAACCAAACAUACCGUUUCUCUCCAUGAUCCAGCAGCUGUAGCAAUCGACAAGUAAGCCGGAACUUGCACGACUGCUAACUACCACUCUCACUCGGUACUGGGAGAAUUAACACAGUUGAGUUGUCACACCCCCUUAACUACAUAUUAAAGGAAGCAAAAUACACCUACGGUUCUUCUUACAAUAGCUAAGGAAGGGAAGUUGGUCUCUGUUUAUAGAGAAGCUUCAAGCCAAUAAUUAAUUGGGUCCCCCACCACAAUUCAAUUAGAUGAUUAGGCUUUAUAUGUAUGUUUUAUUUACGACUUGGGUCAUGCCACUAAACUUUUCCAUGUAGCGGUUGGUGUUCCUCUUCAAAAUCUCAGUUGGUUUUAAAUGUCUAUUACUAAUCACUAAGUUUAAAAGUUAAGAGAAAUCAGCAAACUCUCAUACUCCAUGGAGCACUUCUGACCUUCCAUCUUUUCAUGCCACUUGUCAACUCAGUAGAGAGACUGGUACACUCCAGUGUAGUCAAUGAAACAACCCACUCAUUCUAUCUCCGCAAUGCCAAUUAUCAAUACAUGGAGAGUCCACACUCCAAAUUGAUAACACAUGGAGGGGGGAAGUACUUGACCAUGAGAUAAUAUUUUAUCUGAUUGAGUCUUUGGACCAUGACAACCUUAAUAGACAAUCUAGAAAUAGAAACCAUGCUCUAGGUAAAAAUGCUUGAGAAACAACAGUCUUCUCAUAGAUUCCCAGACUAAAGCAUUCUUUUAGCAUCACUCGAUGUGAUUCCUUAACAAUUGCUUCAUCAUCAUAAAGAUACAGAAAUGCGCAAUACGAAAUGCAAAUGUAACUACGUAGCUUAAAACUAAAACAGCAGGAAGACAAGAUGUCACAAGGAUGAUAUCUCCAACUUUAUAGAAUGAGGAACAAGAAACUACUACUUUGCAACACAUAUUUUCAUUUAAUGAUGCUUUCAAUCAUUAGAUUUAACAGUAAAAGUCAGGAUUAAGACAUGGAUAACUGAAAGAAUGUGACGUUAAAAAAUCAAUUACAGCUCUAUACCUGAAUGGAUGUAAGUAUAGCAGCAACAUCAUAAAUUGGACUCCAUUGAUUCUGAAGAAUAUCCAAACAUAUACUUCCAUCCGCAUAAACUGGAAAAAACAAAAGGAAAAUUUCAGACUUAAAAUUGACUGUUCCUAUCCACCGACUUAACAAAUAAAAAUCAAAUCUUGAACUCCAACUUACUAUUAGGAUGAAACAUUCGAGAAACAAACCGCACGGUGGGUGGCUUAUUGGGGUAAUCCUCAGAGAAUUGAAGAGUCAACUUGAACGUACCUGAUGUUCUCAAAUAGUAUAGUUACAACCAAACUAGUUAAUUCAUACCAAAACUAAUGCAAUUUGAAAAAAGAAAUCAUAUUAUGUCAAAAGAAAAGGAUGGCAAAGGUAACCAAAGCCACAUGAAGCACUUGCUAACACCAACAACCUUAACUUUGGGCAGAGAGUACUGCACUGACAAGAGAUGACAAUACAAAAGUGACAUGGAAAAGCCAUGACUGGAAAUGCUUGGACUGGGAGAUCAAAGAAAGGAUUCAGGCAUUUCCAAAACUAGAAUAUGCAUCACCUCUUUGGGAUGAUUCAUAACAUUCAUCACUACUUUUUCGUUAGGCAGGAAUGUCCAGGGAGGGGACGAGGGGUGAGACUCUCCAAAAUGAUUAUUCAGAAUUUCAAAUCACAGAAAAGAGAGACUGAGAUGAUUAAAACAGAAGUGAAUUGUACAGACAACAACGCAUAAACAGUGGAUGUGCACCAACUACAAUGCUUUAAGCCAACAUUCUUCUGCCACACUGCACUAACGACCAAAUGCAAGGAUAACUCACCACCAUCCCAAGGAGUGUCAUCAGGACUGCAGGUUACACCAAAACGAAGAGAAACGAGAAAGUAGAUUAUUCAAACCAUACGAAAACAGCUUCCCCAAAAAGACAUAAAACACAUAUUUGGCGUAUUUUAAUUACACAACUCACCCAAAUAUCACGGCAUUCCAAAGCAUAAUGUUGUUGUCUUGAGGUGCACCACUAAUACCAGCAGGAGGGUCCUGCUGCAACCUCUUGAAAUCCCUCAUCAACCUCUUUCUAGCUGGAGUCGACAUUGUAACCACC
This 3059-nucleotide long non-coding RNA is filed under the name Solanum tuberosum (potato). Its description in RNAcentral is "long non-coding RNA (STUB_LNC006784)". Lineage: Eukaryota; Viridiplantae; Streptophyta; Magnoliopsida; Solanales; Solanaceae. The record is from RNAcentral.